GGCAGUACCCACCACCUCCACCAUUGCAACUUAUGGGGGUGAACUAGAUUCGACGGAUGACUAAAGGCUAUUCUUUCGUUCGGGAUUGUUCCACCGUAACGGGCUAAUUUAUAAUUGCUAACGAAAGUUAUGCACUUGCUGCCUAAUUAACUUAGUUAAUUAAGCAAACGGGGUCUGGGGCACCUGGCAACAGAACGCCCCCUACU
This 206-nucleotide transfer-messenger RNA is filed under the name Candidatus Pelagibacter sp. RNAcentral describes it as "partial transfer-messenger RNA". It matches the Rfam family "Alphaproteobacteria transfer-messenger RNA", at positions 97 to 355 of the family's 355-position model. Rfam says of the family: Bacterial tmRNA, also known as 10Sa RNA or SsrA, is named for its dual tRNA and mRNA-like properties. The record is from RNAcentral. Lineage: Bacteria; Pseudomonadati; Pseudomonadota; Alphaproteobacteria; Candidatus Pelagibacterales; Candidatus Pelagibacteraceae.